RNAcentral lists this ribosomal RNA (468 nucleotides) under uncultured bacterium. Its description in RNAcentral is "partial 16S ribosomal RNA". It matches the Rfam family "Bacterial small subunit ribosomal RNA", at positions 28 to 507 of the family's 1533-position model. The record is from RNAcentral.
GACGAACGCUGGCGGCGUGCUUAACACAUGCAAGUCGAACGGUGAUGCUCCAGCUUGCUGGAGUGGAUCAGUGGCGAACGGGUGAGUAACACGUGAGCAACCUGCCCCAGACUCUGGAAUAAGCGCUGGAAACGGCGUCUAAUACUGGAUACGAAACUGGCCCGCAUGGGCAUGGUUUGGAAAGUUUUUCGGUUUGGGAUGGGCUCGCGGCCUAUCAGCUUGUUGGUGAGGUAAUGGCUCACCAAGGCGACGACGGGUAGCCGGCCUGAGAGGGCGACCGGCCACACUGGGACUGAGAAACGGCCCAGACUCCUACGGGAGGCAGCAGUGGGGAAUAUUGCACAAUGGGCGAAAGCCUGAUGCAGCGACGCCGCGUGGGGGAUGACGGCCUUCGGGUUGUAAACCUCUUUCAGCAGGGAAGAAGCGAAAGUGACGGUACCUGCAGAAGAAGCACCGGCUAACUACGUG